Non-coding RNA from Phrynosoma platyrhinos (Desert horned lizard), 72 nucleotides. The record is from the annotation of a GenBank genome assembly. NCBI's taxonomy places the organism in Eukaryota, Metazoa, Chordata, Lepidosauria, Squamata, Phrynosomatidae.
GCCUGUGUGGUGUAGUGGUUUCAGCAUUGGGCUACAACUCUGGAAAUCAGGAUUCAAUUCCCUGCUUGGCCA